RNAcentral lists this ribosomal RNA (498 nucleotides) under uncultured bacterium. RNAcentral's name for it is "partial 16S ribosomal RNA". It matches the Rfam family "Bacterial small subunit ribosomal RNA", at positions 30 to 523 of the family's 1533-position model. The record is from RNAcentral.
AUUGAACGCUGGCGGCAUGCCUUACACAUGCAAGUCGAACGGUAACAGGUCUUCGGAUGCUGACGAGUGGCGAACGGGUGAGUAAUACAUCGGAACGUGCCUAGUAGUGGGGGAUAACUACUCGAAAGAGUGGCUAAUACCGCAUGAGAUCUACGGAUGAAAGCAGGGGAUCGCAAGACCUUGUGCUACUAGAGCGGCCGAUGGCAGAUUAGGUAGUUGGUGGGAUAAAAGCUUACCAAGCCGACGAUCUGUAGCUGGUCUGAGGGGACGAUCAGCCACACUGGGACUGAGACACGGCCCAGAGUCAUACGGGAGGCAGCAGUGGGGAAUUUUGGACAAUGGGCGCAAGCCUGAUCCAGCAAUGCCGCGUGCAGGAUGAAGGCCUUCGGGUUGUAAACUGCUUUUGUACGGAACGAAAAGCCCCGGGUUAAUACCCUGGGGUCAUGACGGUACCGUAAGAAUAAGCACCGGCUAACUACGUGCCAGCCGCCGCCGUAA